UCCAGCAGCCAUAUCAUCCUGCAACUCACAACUGGCGACCUACUGAAGCAAAGCAGGUGUGAGCCUGGUCAGUACCUGGAUGGGAGACCUCCUGGGAAAAACUAAGGUUGCUGCUGGAA
This is a ribosomal RNA of Lepisosteus oculatus (spotted gar), 119 nucleotides long. NCBI's taxonomy places the organism in Eukaryota, Metazoa, Chordata, Actinopteri, Semionotiformes, Lepisosteidae. The record is from Rfam.